RNAcentral lists this ribosomal RNA (463 nucleotides) under uncultured bacterium. RNAcentral's name for it is "partial 16S ribosomal RNA". It matches the Rfam family "Bacterial small subunit ribosomal RNA", at positions 28 to 507 of the family's 1533-position model. The record is from RNAcentral.
GAUGAACGCUGACAGAAUGCUUAACACAUGCAAGUCGAUGGGGAAGUGGUGCUUGCACCAUGGUAACCAUGGCGGACGGGUGAGUAACGCGUAAGGAACUUGCCUGCGGGACUGGGAUAACAGCAGGAAACUGCUGAUAAUACCGGAUAAGGUCAUUAAGCUGCAUAGCUUAGUGAUGAAAGGAGACGCCUGCGGAGAGCCUUGCGUCCUAUUAGCUAGUUGGAGGGGUAACGGCCCACCAAGGCGAAGAUAGGUAGCCGGCCUGAGAGGGUGGACGGCCACAAGGGGACGGAGAUACGGCCCUUACUCCUACGGGAGGCAGCAGUGGGGAAUAUUGGACAAUGGUGGCAACCCUGAUCCAGCAAUUCUGUGUGCACGAAGACGGUUUUCGGAUUGUAAAGUGCUUUCAGCAGGGAAGAAGGAAGUGACGGUACCUGCAGAAGAAGCGACGGCUAAAUACGUG